UUUGACUCUUCGUCUUAUUUGAAUUUUUUAUGAUUAAUAUUUUUAUUAUUACUACAUGAUAAAACAUGAAUAGUACUUCACAUGCGACUAUUUUUUAAAAAAAUUUAAUAAAUUUUUCAAAUAAGACGGCCGGUCAAA
This 138-nucleotide microRNA precursor is filed under the name Oryza brachyantha (malo sina). RNAcentral describes it as "MIR812 microRNA precursor family". It matches the Rfam family "MIR812 microRNA precursor family", at positions 33 to 173 of the family's 205-position model. The record is from Rfam by way of RNAcentral. Lineage: Eukaryota; Viridiplantae; Streptophyta; Magnoliopsida; Poales; Poaceae.